ACUCUUCCCACUCACUCAAUUUCUCUCCAAGAAAAAUAUCAAGGCAAGAAAAGCUCUCACUCUCUCCACCUCUCUUCAUUUUCGUCCAUCCUCUCUUCCCCCACUCCCAAGACUCUUCUCCCACCAUUAUCACACUCCAUAGAAGCCCUUGAAGCCCCAAGAGAAGUAUCAAAGCAAGGGAGAGCAUGGGAAAACGAGGGCGUAAAGUUAGAGUGAAGGUUGUGCUUCGAGGGAAUUGGUUCACAGGACGGUACCACCGCUUAGAUCACCCCUCUUCCACACUGAGGAUCAGGUUGAGCAACUGGUGGUGGUGAUGAAGUGACGAGCGGAACCCUUUUGUCAUAUCCUUAUGUAUUAAUGAACUCUGGGGAUACAUGUCUUCAUACAUGUAAUCAGAACCAUAUUCCGCUGCGUACUCAAAAGAUUUAUGUUAUUUUGGCUAAGGCGGAGUUAUCCGAACUUACUAGUUUAUUCGAGUCAAUAUGACGAACCUUUGUCAUAUUAUAAAUA
Salvia miltiorrhiza (redroot sage) is the source of this 510-nucleotide long non-coding RNA. RefSeq lists it as uncharacterized. The record is from RefSeq and is a predicted model, not a curated record. Lineage: Eukaryota; Viridiplantae; Streptophyta; Magnoliopsida; Lamiales; Lamiaceae. The transcript has 3 exons.